UUGUGAAUCACUUCGCUUAUCAGAGUUCAUAUAGCGACCUUAACUUGAUUGGGACUGAGGUGCAGCUAUUGUUAUUCCUUAUACAUGACAAUAGGGCGUGUCUUUAGUAUUUUUGGUUUGAUUGUGUGCUAUUUGUAUUCGGUUUUUUGAUUUUGAAAAAAAAAAUCCAGUUAAAAAAAAUUAUGCAGUUUAGUCUUAGGUUUUUUAAUUUGCACUUUCUUCCUUUUGAUUGCUAUCAUCAUUAAUGUGUAUAUAGGUAUGGUAUCAAGCAAAAUAGUAUAAAUAGUAAAAUCUCAACAUACUUUAUAAAGUAUAUUAAAUGGAGAUUAGCAACUACAAAAUGAAUUAGACCAUAAACUUAUCGAGAUGUUUGUAUGCUUCCCCCAGAAAUAUAGGAAUAAAAGGAGUAUAUGUUUAGCAAACUCAUAAAAUAGAAGUAAUCUUACAUUCUGAAGUGUCCCUUUAAAGAUUUCCACAUGAUUAAUGAAUGUAGGUAAACAAAAUAGACUGCGAUCAGUGGCAAAGGCCAAGACCUGUAGUAUUCAACCCGCUUCUUCCCAAAAAGAGGGGAAAAUUGAGAAUAGAGAUCAAUUUUCAAGUCAUUUCAUGGAAUGACAAACAUUGCAAGUCACACCACAAUUGGUAAUUUUUGUAGAAGAUACAUAAUAUUCUUUCGGAAGAGAGUUACAAGGUAUGGACCCACUUUUGUUUUCACUUUCCAUCCAAAUGGGACCUUAGUACUGCUUUUGAUAAGUCAUUAUCUUCAAUCUCAAUGAAUGGAUGAAGUCAAAUACCCUGACAAAAAAAUUGCUUGCGUGUUACCCUUCUUUUUCUUUGUAGCUUCCUGGACUUGUACUCAGGGGUGGUCUAUUCCCAAGGGGGUGUCACGCAACCCGCAAGCUUCGAUUAAAACUUUGUAUGUAUAUAUAUGUAAGUAUAAAUAGAUCAAGUGUCACUUGCAAUAAUGAGUGAGGCAAGGAUUCCAUUGGCAAAAGUUUUAAAGUUUCUCCCAAGUGGUAGGAGUUCGAUUCCCCUGCCAACUUUAGUCAUUUUUUGCUUGCUAAACAUUACUGAUAUAUACAAAUAACACAUACUCCAUGUAUUCUAUUCUCUAUGGUUUAUUUUCCCUCGUGACCAAC
Molecule: long non-coding RNA, 1139 nt
Organism: Lycium ferocissimum
Lineage: Eukaryota; Viridiplantae; Streptophyta; Magnoliopsida; Solanales; Solanaceae
Exons: 2
Source: RefSeq, a predicted model, not a curated record